This 433-nucleotide ribosomal RNA is filed under the name uncultured bacterium. Its description in RNAcentral is "partial 16S ribosomal RNA". It matches the Rfam family "Bacterial small subunit ribosomal RNA", at positions 28 to 507 of the family's 1533-position model. The record is from RNAcentral.
GACGAACGCUGGCGGCAUGCCUAACACAUGCAAGUCGAACGAGACCUUCGGGUCUAGUGGCGCACGGGUGCGUAACGCAUGGGAACCUGCCCUUAGGUUCGGAAUAACUCCCCGAAAGGGGUGCUAAUACCGGAUAAUGUCUUCGGACCAAAGAUUUAUCGCCUUUGGAUGGGCCCGCGUUGGAUUAGCUAGUUGGUAGGGUAAAAGCCUACCAAGGCGACGAUCCAUAGCUGGUCUGAGAGGAUGAUCAGCCACACUGGGACUGAGACACGGCCCAGACUCCUACGGGAGGCAGCAGUGGGGAAUAUUGGACAAGGGGCGAAAGCCUGAUCCAGCAAUGCCGCGUGAGUGAUGAAGGCCUUAGGGUUGUAAAGCUCUUUUACCCGGGAUGAUAAUGACAGUACCGGGAGAAUAAGCUCCGGCUAACUCCGUG